UACGUAGGGGGCGAGCGUUGUCCGGAAUCAUUGGGCGUAAAGCGCGUGUAGGCGGCCCGGUAAGUCCGCUGUGAAAGUCCAGGGCUCAACCCUGGGAUGCGGAUGGAUACUGUCGAGCUCGAGUCCGGAAGAGGCGAGUGGAAUUCCUGGUGUAGCGGUGAAAUGCGCAGAUAUCAGGAGGAACACCAAUGGCGAAGGCAGCUCGCUGGGACGUGACUGACGCUGAGACGCGAAAGCGUGGGGAGCAAACAGG
This 253-nucleotide ribosomal RNA is filed under the name uncultured bacterium. RNAcentral's name for it is "partial 16S ribosomal RNA". It matches the Rfam family "Bacterial small subunit ribosomal RNA", at positions 524 to 776 of the family's 1533-position model. The record is from RNAcentral.